Molecule: ribosomal RNA, 356 nt
Filed under: uncultured bacterium
Lineage: Bacteria
Description: partial 16S ribosomal RNA
Rfam family: Bacterial small subunit ribosomal RNA
Source: RNAcentral
CCUACGGGGGACAGCAGUGAGGAAUAUUGGUCAAUGGACGCGAGCCUGAACCAGCCAAGUAGCGUGAAGGAAGACGGCCCUACGGGUUGUAAACUGCUUUUAUAAAGGAAUAAAGUGAGACACGUGUGCCGUGUUGAAAGUAGUGUAUGAAUAAGGAUCGGCUAACUCCGUGCCAGCAGCCGCGGUAAUACGGAGGAUCCGAGCGUUAUCCGGAUUUAUUGGGUUUAAAGGGAGCGUAGAUGGGUCGUUAAGUCAGUUGUGAAAGUUUGCGGCUCAACCGUAAAAUUGCCAUUGAUACUGGCAGUCUUGAGUUCAGUUGCGGUAGGCGUAAUUCUUGGUGUAGCGGUGAAAUGCUU